Molecule: unclassified non-coding RNA, 218 nt
Filed under: Hevea brasiliensis (rubber tree)
Lineage: Eukaryota; Viridiplantae; Streptophyta; Magnoliopsida; Malpighiales; Euphorbiaceae
Source: RNAcentral
AGUCUGGCAACUUCAAAGAAUUACGGUCUCAUAUUAUUCAAUUGUCUUUAAGAGCAUCACAUAUGUUACAAAAUACUGUCACAUUUCUUCAUGUAUCAGUACUAUAAAUGCUUUCUGUACUUGAUCAGCAAAAAUAUAAAAUUAAAUUAUCACAACUGAAUAUCUAUUUGACAAUUGAAGUAGAGAUGGCAAUGCAACUUGAACCCAAAAUAAAUUUU